CACGAGUCCCGACGCUUCGGGAGCUACUGCUUCUUUGUGCACGUGGUAUGUGUGUGCGACGUGUGCACAUACUGUGUGCACAGACGACACUGGAGAGGAAGGAGGAUGCUAUUACAGGACAUACUGUAUGGUAAACAGUUGGGAGUGCGCGUCGGGUCCCUCAGUCUCCUCUGCGAUUUGCCUUUCAGAAGGCCACAGAGAACUCUGUGACUCCUCACGAUGUCCAAAAUUAAGAAGAUGUAAGGACAAUAUCCACACAUUGUUGAGGAUGGCCUCGUCUCCUUAACUCUUCUUAUUUAUUUUUAUUUUUUUUAUUUUUGCCCUUUUAAAGGGUAGCUUUCCUACUCAGUUUGUCUAGUGUACACGCUUAUAUCAUCUAUAAAUUUAGAUAAACUCCUUGCCUUUUCUCAGGUUUUCUUUUUUUUUUUUCCUUUAAAAAAUUCUUUACAAAAUGAUCAGAAGAAACAAACCAAAAAAAAAAAA
Molecule: long non-coding RNA, 483 nt
Organism: Sander lucioperca (pikeperch)
Lineage: Eukaryota; Metazoa; Chordata; Actinopteri; Perciformes; Percidae
Exons: 2
Source: RefSeq, a predicted model, not a curated record